ACUGCUGUUAAAAGAAAUCUUUUCACAAUUUCAUAAGGAAAAAACCAGUAAUUAGUUGUAAAAUUUUCUCGAAAUUUCUCUCCGGUUUGUGAAGGACCUUAUCAGCGGAGCCAUGGAGUCGCCGGGGGAUCGGCGGUGCAAGAAAAACGACGGCGCAAAGUGGCGGUGCAGCAAGACGGCGGCGGUUAAUAGAUCGUACUGCGAGGAUCACGUGGCGCAGAUGGAGAAGCGCAGAAAGAGAAUUCGGAGAGAGAAAGAGGUCACCAUGUCGACGAAGAAGACGAUGGCAACGGCGAAAGAGAGGAGAAUAAGUGCCAGCGAUGGAACCGAUAACGAACCGAGUGAGUCCGAGUCGGAACGGAUCUUGGUGAGUCAGCUGAAGAAAGGAAAGCGACUGGUUCGCGAUCGUGAUAAAGAAGAAGCUAAAUCUCGAAAAUCGGUGAAAUCCGAUGAAGAAGAGGGAAAUUCCACGGAAAAGUUUUUGUGUCAGGAUACUAAAUGCAAUAAGAGGAAGGAGAAUGGGAGUUUGAUGUGUCAUCAAUGUCAGAGGAAUGACAAGAGUGGGGUUGUUCACUGUGCCAAAUGUGGAAGGAAGCGUUAUUGUUUUGAGUGUAUUGAAAGAUGGUACCCUGGAAAGAGAAGGGAGGAAAUUCAGACUUCAUGCCCAUUUUGUUGUGGAAACUGCAAUUGCAAAGCUUGCUUGAGGGAGAUUCCGGUUUUCAAGCCUUAUUCUAAGGAAAUUGAUGCGAGUGCGAAAUUACAGAGGCUGAAGUAUUUGCUAUAUAAAGCUCUGCCUGUUCUUAGGCAUAUCUACAGGGAUCAGAGUUCUGAAUUAGAUAUUGAAGCUAAAAUAAAAGGUUCUGGUGUUGAAGUGACAGAAAAUGAGGUAGAGAGAAUUAAACUGGACAAAAGUGAGCGUUUGUAUUGUGACAAUUGUAGUACAUCGAUUGUUGGUUUCUUUAGAAGCUGCACCAAUCCCAGUUGUUCUUAUGAUCUGUGUCUCGCUUGUUGUCAAGAGCUGAGGGAAGAUCGCCAACCAGGAGGUAACGAAGCAGAAACAUCUCGCCAAAAGUUUGUAGAAAGAGCUCAUGCUCAAGCGAGUGACAGUGAGAAGGUUCCUAGUGCACGAAAGAAAAGAUCUGGGUGGGAGAAGCAAGUCAACCAUGAUGCUGAUGAUGUUUGUAAUGAAAUGUAUGAUCACUUUCCUGAUUGGAAGGCAAACACUGACGGUAGCAUCCCUUGCCCUCCAAAAGGACGUGGAGGUUGUGGAACUGCUUUACUAGAACUAAGACGCAUUUAUAAAGCUAAGUGGGUGAAGAAUUUGUUAGAAACUGCAGAGGAACUUACUAGGAAUUUCCAGUUGCAAGACAUUAAUUUUUUGGAAGGAUGUUCUCAUUGCCAGCCAAAUGCUUCUGGGGAGAAAAAAAAUAUACAGUCUGAAGUGAGACUGGCAGCUUUCAGAGAAAAUGGAUAUGAUAACUUCCUAUAUUGCCCGAGUGCCAUUGACAUUGAUGAGAAUGAUAAUGAGCAUUUUCAGAUGCACUGGAUGAAGGGAGAGCCUGUGAUUGUCAGAAAUGUUCUUGACAAAACAUCUGGUCUUAGCUGGGAACCUAUGGUCAUGUGGAGGGCUUUUAGAGAAACAGGUGCAAAUGUUAAAUUCAAAGAGGAGACGAGAAGUGUAAGGGCCAUUGAUUGCCUUGAUUGGUGUGAGGUUGAGAUCAAUAUUCACCAAUUUUUCAUGGGCUACUUAGAAGGCCGUAUGCAUAAAGGAGGGUGGCCAGAGAUGUUGAAGUUGAAGGAUUGGCCAUCAUCAACUCUCUUUGAGGAGCGUUUGCCGAGGCAUGGUGCAGAAUUUUUUGCGGCACUCCCCUAUGGAGACUAUACUGAUCCAAAAUCAGGCCUGCUCAAUCUUGCUACAAGACUUCCCGACGACUCAUUGAAACCUGAUUUGGGACCCAAAACAUAUAUUGCAUAUGGCUUCCCUAAAGAGCUUGGUAGAGGUGACUCAGUCACAAAGCUUCAUUGUGACAUGUCUGAUGCGGUGAACGUUAUGACACACACAACUAAGGUGGAGAUUGCUCCCUGGCAGAGAAAGAGAAUUGAAGAAAAGCAGAAAAAACAUGCAGUUGACGACCUGCGUGAACUCUAUGGUGGACAUAGGAAUGGACUUGAAGCACAACAAGGACGUGCUCAAUCUUCUAGUGAUACGUUGAUGGGAGUGCUCAAUGUGCAAGAUACUUUAGAGGUUUCUGGGGUGCUCAAUGUGCAAGAUACUUUAGAGGUUUCUUGCUCAGAACAUGGAAUUCAUGAUCUAGGCUCAAGAGACUCAACCCUUAACUUGAGAAAGAAUUCUCUUGAAACCAGCGAAGAUGUUGUCUAUGGUGGUGCUGUUUGGGACAUCUUUCGCAGGCAGGAUGUUCCUAAAUUAAUUGAAUACUUGGAAAAACACAAAAAGGAAUUUCGCCAUAUUGACACCCUCCCAAUUAACUCGGUGGUUCAUCCUAUACAAGAUCAGACUCUUUUCUUGAAUGAGAUACAUAAGAAACAGCUGAAGGAGGAGUUUAAUGUGGAACCCUGGACGUUUGAGCAAUACCUCGGUGAGGCUGUUUUUAUUCCUGCAGGAUGUCCUCAUCAAGUCAGGAAUAGACAAUCUUGCAUAAAGGUAGCACUCGACUUUGUAUCUCCUGACAAUGUUGAAGAGUGCAUUCGACUAACAGACGAAAACCGUUUGCUACCAAAGGACCAUAGAGCAAAGGAAGACAAAUUAGAGGUGAGAAAGAUUACACUUUAUGCUGUUAGUUGGGCUGCGAAAGAAGUCAAAAAACUAAGGACGGAGCUCAAAAUUGGAGCAGAGCCCCUAGUCAAGCUUGGCGGGCUGGUCUAGACAAAGAAGGGACAAUUGGACAACGUUUAGAGCUUCAUGACAAUACUAUAUCCGUAGUCACUUCUUGUCAGCAAUAAUCGGGAACCGGCUUGGCUUGUUCUUGCCGGUCGUUUUGGGAUGACAACACCAGCAAUUGACUCCAUCUCUCCAGUGAUUUGGAAUUACAAUGUGAAGGCUUUUUGGUGGGUUUGGCUUUUGGUGAAAAGCUCUCAGAAAAUGUCACAUCUCAGCUCGAAUUGAAAACUCGAAUCCGCAAAGUGAACGAGACCGCUUCCACAUGAUUUGGGUUCAUAGGGGAACUCUGUGAGAGAGGAAAUUUAGAAUUCAAACUCUUUUGUGAGAUAAAACAACACUGUAGCAGAAUCAUAAUUUGAGUUUGAAUAUACUUUUUAAACAAGCCUUAAUAGUCUCAUCUAGUUUUGGGGACAAAUAAUCCUACAAUACAUGGGACUAUUUCUGGUCAAAGGAUAGCUUAUUUGAUCAAGAUGUGUGCCCAAACGUAGGAUUACGGUGAAUAAUCCCAAUCCCAGUGCGGCCAAACAAGGACCAAGUCUACACCAGAGAAGGGAUAGUGUGGAAAAAAAUGUUCAGAUCUAAGCUUCAAGGCCUGUGUAGAUGUUGGAUAUAUCAAAAACAGUCGAUCAACAUCUUGAUAUUGCAUGCUACUAGGAGUAAAUUUGAUGGAUCUGGAGAAGAUACCACUUGUAGGACAAUUUAAGUGGUGAGACCUGUGACAUAUGGAACUAGUGAGUUAGACAAUAUCCACGCAAAUGUCAAUGUCAAUGCUACGUUUGUCAAGAAAAGUGUAUAAAUAAUAUAUUUGAUGUGCUAUUCUGUUUUGUG
Molecule: RNA transcript, 3727 nt
Organism: Morus notabilis
Lineage: Eukaryota; Viridiplantae; Streptophyta; Magnoliopsida; Rosales; Moraceae
Gene name: lysine-specific demethylase JMJ25
Exons: 14
Source: RefSeq, a predicted model, not a curated record